RNAcentral lists this ribosomal RNA (522 nucleotides) under uncultured bacterium. Its description in RNAcentral is "partial 16S ribosomal RNA". It matches the Rfam family "Bacterial small subunit ribosomal RNA", at positions 28 to 507 of the family's 1533-position model. The record is from RNAcentral.
GAUGAACGCUGGCGGCGUGCCUAAUACAUGCAAGUCGAACGCUUUGUCUUUAAUUGAUAUGAAGAGCUUGCUCUGAUUUGAUUUUAUCUGACAAAGAGUGGCGAACGGGUGAGUAACACGUGGGUAACCUACCUCUUAGCAGGGGAUAACAUUUGGAAACAAGUGCUAAUACCGUAUAACACUAACAACCGCAUGGUUGUUAGUUGAAAGAUGGUUCUGCUAUCACUAAGAGAUGGACCCGCGGUGCAUUAGCUAGUUGGUAAGGUAAUGGCUUACCAAGGCGAUGACGCGUAGCCGAGUUGAGAGACUGAUCGGCCACAAUGGGACUGAGACACGGCCCAUACUCCUACGGGAGGCAGCAGUAGGGAAUCUUCCACAAUGGGCGCAAGCCUGAUGGAGCAACGCCGCGUGUGUGAUGAAGGGUUUCGGCUCGUAAAACACUGUUAUAAGAGAAGAACGACAUUGAGAGUAACUGUUCAGUGUGUGACGGUAUCUUAUCAGAAAGGAACGGCUAAAUACGUG